AGUAAGUGAUGGAUUCUCCAGAGCCUUCUUCCAGUCUCAGUCAACCACUGACUCAACAAACUUCUGAGGUGGUAGCUAAAGUACUGUGGUGUAUUGACAGAAGAUCCAGGAUGACUCAGCCAUGGAUAUUUAUGAAUUUUAUACCAGCAGACCAGUGAUCUUCAAACCAGCACAUUGGCU
This 180-nucleotide long non-coding RNA is filed under the name Fukomys damarensis (Damara mole-rat). RNAcentral describes it as "lncRNA (ENSFDAG00000031491.1)". Lineage: Eukaryota; Metazoa; Chordata; Mammalia; Rodentia; Bathyergidae. The record is from RNAcentral.